GAUAAACGCUGGCGGCGCACAUAAGACAUGCAAGUUGAACGGACUUAAUCGAAAUAUUUAUAUUUUGAAGCGGUUAGUGGCGGACUGGUGAGUAACGCGUAAGGAACCUGCCUAUUAGAGGGGAAUAACAGUGAGAAAUCAUUGCUAAUACCGCAUAUGCCAUAGAUAUCACAUGAUAACAGUGGGAAAGGAGCAAUCCGCUAAUAGAUGGCCUUGCGUCUGAGUAGAUAGUUGGUGGGGUAACGGCCUACCAAGUCGACGAUCAGUAGCCGGACUGAGAGGUUGAACGGCAACAUUGGGACUGAGAUACGGCCCAGAAUCCUACGGGAGGCAGCAGUAGGGAAUAUUGCGCAAUGGAGGAAACUCUGACGCAGUGACGCCGCGUAUAGGAAGAAGGUUUUCGGAUUGUAAACUAUUGUCGUUAGGGAAGAGAAAGGACAGUACCUAAGGAGGAAGCUCCGGCUAACUACGUG
RNAcentral lists this ribosomal RNA (473 nucleotides) under uncultured bacterium. RNAcentral's name for it is "partial 16S ribosomal RNA". It matches the Rfam family "Bacterial small subunit ribosomal RNA", at positions 28 to 507 of the family's 1533-position model. The record is from RNAcentral.